GUAAGGAAUAUUGGUCAAUGGAGGCAACUCUGAACCAGCCAUGCCGCGUGCAGGAAGACGGCCCUAUGGGUUGUAAACUGCUUUUAUACGGGAAUAAACCUCUCUACGUGUAGAGAGUUGAAUGUACUGUAAGAAUAAGGAUCGGCUAACUCCGUGCCAGCAGCCGCGGUAAUACGGAGGAUCCAAGCGUUAUCCGGAUUUAUUGGGUUUAAAGGGUGCGUAGGCGGCCUAUUAAGUCAGGGGUGAAAGACGGUGGCUCAACCAUCGCAGUGCCCUUGAUACUGAUGGGCUUGAUUACACUUUAUGUAGGCGGAAUGUGACAAGUAGCUGAGAAAUGCAUAGAUAUGUCACAGAACACCAAUUGCAAAGGCAGCUUACUAAGGUGUCAAGGACGCUGAGGCACGAAAGCGUGGGGGUCAAACAGGAUUAGAUACCCGGGUAGUCC
Molecule: ribosomal RNA, 445 nt
Filed under: uncultured bacterium
Lineage: Bacteria
Description: partial 16S ribosomal RNA
Rfam family: Bacterial small subunit ribosomal RNA
Source: RNAcentral